AGCGGCGGACGGGUGAGUAACGCGUGGGUAACCUGCCCUAUACAGGGGGAUAACAGUUAGAAAUGAUUGCUAAUACCGCAUAAGCGCACGGAGCCGCAUGGCGCUGAGUGAAAAACGAUAGUGGUAUAGGAGGGACCCGCGUCUGAUUAGGUAGUUGGUGAGGUAACGGCCCACCAAGCCGACGAUCAGUAGCCGACCUGAGAGGGUGACCGGCCACAUUGGGACUGAGACACGGCCCAAACUCCUACGGGAGGCAGCAG
Molecule: ribosomal RNA, 260 nt
Filed under: uncultured bacterium
Lineage: Bacteria
Description: partial 16S ribosomal RNA
Rfam family: Bacterial small subunit ribosomal RNA
Source: RNAcentral